UGAAACGUGAAAAUUGGCGACAGGCGCACGGUGUCUAAAUCUAGGUGUCCACCAAUACUUCCACCUCCCGCCUCCUUCAGUGUCGUGAGUUCCUCCAUUACCAGAUGAAAUUGAUUUUCUUUUUUCUCAAAAUUUUAUUUUUUAGAUUCUAUCAAAAUCGAUUUCUUUCUUCACAAAAAUUGAUUUGUUGAAAUCGAUUUUAUUGCUUCUUUUCUCAUCUGUGAAAUCCAUUGAUUAUUUGAAAUCGACGUUGAAGGAUUCAGAAUCGGAAGUCACAGGUUAAUCAAAUCGUUAAGAGUUUCAGUCUCAAUAUUGAAAUCGAUUUGGAAGUUCUGGAAUCGGAAUUUGAAAACGGUAAUCAUUCAGAAGCAAAAACGAAACUGAAAUUGGAAUCGGAGCUUGCAAGCAUUCGGUGAUGUAGGCUCGUAUGUUACAACCGAUUCACAUUCAGAGUUUUGGAAUCAGAACUUAAAAUCCUUCGAAUCAAAAUCGGAGAUAUGCGUUUGGUGUUCAAGGCUCGGGUUUUUCGUCUCACAAUCAAUUUUUGAAUCUCAAAAUUGAAAUCGCUUUGAAAUUCAUAAACGAUUCGAAAGCAGAACAAUCUCAUCGAAUCGUUCAGAAUUUGGAUGUCAUCGGAACGCUGGGCAGUGUUGAUUCGAUGGCAAACUUGAUUUUGACUUUUACAAGUCAACUACGUGUUUUAUCAGAUUAAAUGAAGAAGAUGACUUCAUUUACAAUUUCAGCCCUCGGAAGUUACAAAGAUUGACAGAAUUAUCCCUGUUUCUAAAUCCUUUACUAAUCCAUGGUUUUAACCAUUCAGGGCAUCUCAUGUUUACAAUCAACGCCAACAACCAGAUUUUGAUCAGAACCGACAGUUCCGAACGCAAGGAUAUCUACCACAAUGUUAUGGACAAUUUUGGCGACUUAUCUACUCUAAUAAAUGAAGGUUUUUUGUCACAUGUCCUCUUCUUCUUCAUUUGGACACAUGGCAUUUUCUAAAAUUUUAAAUUUUCUAUUUUCCACUUGUCAUUUUAUUGUAUUUUUCAUUUUAUGAAAUUAAAAUUCCACAUUUAAUAUCUAAGGUAAUAUAUAUGUAAGGUAUUUAUUAGAAAAUGGUUUAUAUAUGUAAUGUAUCCAAUACAUUAAAGUCUUAUUAAUUUUAAUAAUUCAAAAAAUUUCUCAUUUUUCUUCUAAAUUCAAGCUUUUCAAAUUGUUAAAAUUUUAUAUUUGAUUUUUUUUUUAAAUAAACUCAUGUAAUAUAUGGGUCUCACACCUAGUGGUUCUAAUAUAGGACUAUGGUAAAUGAGAGGAAGCAAAACCAGGACCUCCAGCUGGAUGCGGUAAUGAAUGUUUUUGUAAAAUUCUUCUACUUUCUUUUAGUUGGCAUUGACAUAUUGGGAACGUUUGUGCUUGAAAUUGGAAUGAUUUAGUGCUAACAUUCUACUGUUACUUUUUUUGGAAUGAUUUUAGUGCUAACUUGCUAGUGUUAAUUUUACAUUCCAAUAUUCUAUCUUUGACUUCAAUUUCACCAUUCUACUCAUAAACUUUUUUUGCUAUUAAUUUUAUUUUUCUUUUUCAUUGUCGACUAUUUAUUUUUUAGUUGUAAUCUAAGUUUUGUAUUAUCUAUGAAAAAUGAAUAGUAUGAAUAUUUGUUUUUGAAUCUCGAAAUUGUAGCUAGUUGGUUUGUUUAUCAACCAUAGUAAAUUUAGUUUAUUCAACAUGAUAUAGGUUUUAAUUGCUACCUUACCUCUUUGUUUAUAUAAUUUAAUUUUAUUCUUUGAAUUGCCUUGUACUUUGUUGUGGCAAUUUAUGAACUAACAACAUCACAUGGUUGAAGUUAUUUGCUAAUAUAUGUAUUUCUUGAGAUUUUACAUAAUUUUUUUGUCCUCUAAAUGUUCGAUGAAAUGUUUAUAAAAUCUCAUCUCUUUCAUUGUAGUUUUAGGAUUACAUUCUAUUCUGUCAGAAUAUAUUCUGCCAGAAUAAAAUCUAUGUAUUCUGUCAUAUUCUAUGUAUUCUACCAGAAUAUAUAAAGUGAUAAUUAAUUGCAAGUAACAUGUUUUUAACCAUUAUUAGUUGUUGUUGUAUUUGUGAUAGGAAUGGCUGGAAGAAUGCAUUGAAGACCUAAUAGGAAUAACUUGAAGAAUGAAUAACAUUUGAUCAUACUCACAAUUUUAGAAUGUUGUUAUUUUUUUAGAAUUUUAUUCAGUUUUGUUGAUAUUCUUUUAGAAUAUGUAUACUUAUAUUAAAAUGUAUAAGGCUUUUAAUCUGUAAGAAUAUGUAUGAAUUUGUAGUUAAGUUCGGAUGUAUAAGAAUAUAUUAGAAUGUUGUUAUUUUUUAACCUCGGAUUCAAUAAUGUUGUUAUUCUUCAAUAA
RNAcentral lists this long non-coding RNA (2372 nucleotides) under Lactuca sativa (garden lettuce). Its description in RNAcentral is "long non-coding RNA (LSAT_LNC006398)". Lineage: Eukaryota; Viridiplantae; Streptophyta; Magnoliopsida; Asterales; Asteraceae. The record is from RNAcentral.